AACGCACAUUGCGCCCUUUGGUAUUCCAAAGGGCAUGCCUGUUUGAGCGUCAUUUCUCUCUCAAAUCUUCGGAUUUGGUUUUGAGUGAUACUCUUAGUCAGACUAAGCGUUUGCUUGAAAUGUAUUGGCAUGAGUGGUACUAGAUAGUGCUGAACUGUUUCAAUGUAUUAGGUUUAUCCAACUCGUUGACCAGUAAAGUAUUUGUUUAGUGCGUUGGCUCGGCCUUACAACAACAAACAAAGUUUGACCUCAAAUCAGGUAGGACUACCCGCUGAACUUAA
This 281-nucleotide unclassified non-coding RNA is filed under the name uncultured fungus. RNAcentral describes it as "partial contains 5.8S ribosomal RNA, internal transcribed spacer 2, and large subunit ribosomal RNA". The stretch from base 1 to 52 matches the Rfam family "5.8S ribosomal RNA", at positions 103 to 154 of the family's 154-position model. RNAcentral also lists the same sequence under 1 other name. The record is from RNAcentral. Lineage: Eukaryota; Fungi.